This 499-nucleotide ribosomal RNA is filed under the name uncultured Actinomycetes bacterium. RNAcentral's name for it is "bacterial SSU rRNA". It matches the Rfam family "Bacterial small subunit ribosomal RNA", at positions 8 to 522 of the family's 1533-position model. The record is from RNAcentral. Lineage: Bacteria; Bacillati; Actinomycetota; Actinomycetes.
AGAGUUUGAUCAUGGCUCAGGACGAACGCUGGCGGCGUGCUUAACACAUGCAAGUCGAACGGAAAGGCCCGCUUGCGGGUACUCGGGUGGCGAACGGGUGAGUAACACGUGGGCAACCUGCCCUCAGCUCUGGGAUAACUCCGGGAAACCGGUGCUAAUACUGGAUAUCAACUUCUGCUCGCAUGGGUGGUUGUUGAAAGUUUUUCGGCUGGGGAUGGGCCCGCGGCCUAUCAGCUUGUUGGUGGGGUAAUGGCCUACCAAGGCGACGACGGGUAGCCGGCCUGAGAGGGCGACCGGCCACACUGGGACUGAGACACGGCCCAGACUCCUACGGGAGGCAGCAGUGGGGAAUAUUGCGCAAUGGGCGGAAGCCUGACGCAGCGACGCCGCGUGAGGGAUGACGGCCUUCGGGUUGUAAACCUCUUUCAGCUCUGACGAAGCGAGAGUGACGGUAGGAGCAGAAGAAGCACCGGCCAACUACGUGCCAGCAGCCGCGGUA